This is a long non-coding RNA of Acinonyx jubatus (cheetah), 1339 nucleotides long. RefSeq lists it as uncharacterized. The transcript is spliced from 4 exons. The record is from RefSeq and is a predicted model, not a curated record. NCBI's taxonomy places the organism in Eukaryota, Metazoa, Chordata, Mammalia, Carnivora, Felidae.
CUAGAAUGUGAGGAAAGAAUAAGGAUUUUGAGUUUUCUCAUAAAAACAGAUAGACUGAGCAUUACUAAUCAGCUUUUCUUUGGAGCACUGGUGUUGGGGCUAAUUGGGAUUAACUUUAAUUUGUAAUGUAAAAAUUAAUAAAGAGAACCUCACUAAAAUGACAUUGAGAGGUUCAGGAUGGGGAAUUCUCAUGCUCUACCACUUAUCAUUAAUUGCGGAUCCAAGAGAAAGAGACGGACCUUACAGGGGAAACUGCUUUAUUAUCCCAGCAGGAGAAAACAGGGCUUUCCUGCUUUCCUGGCAACAGCUCAGCCAAUGACAGACAGUCACAACUCAGCCAAUGAGAAGCCGCUAUAUUUAGAGCUCUUAGUUUACUCCAAUGGCCUUUUUGUUUAUAAUCGCUUUCCCCAACUUCCCCUUUUCCUCUAUAAAAGAACCGGUGCCUCUCCUUUGUUCUGCCGAAUAGUCUAUAGUUUUGCUGUAGUUUGUCCUGAGUUAUAAUUUUUUAUUUUCCACGCGUGAACCCAUUUCUGCUGGUAAAGUAACUGACAGUGUUGUUUUUAAACUUAACAGUAUCCAAAGUAAGAGCUAUCCUCUAAUAAACAUGAGAUUUGGGCCUUAGAAAGGUUUUUAUUAAUGUGCUCCUGUAAGCCUUUAACUGAAGUGACUGCCAAAAGAAAUUCUACUCCAGAUGUAGCGCAUUGAGGCUUAUGCUAGCUGCAACAAGUAGCUUUUGACUGACAUCUAUUCACUUCAAGGGUGAUUUUCCUGUUGGCAAGAGGCAGAACAGACACACCAAGCAUCACCUUCAGGAACAAGCAAUUUAAGUACUAUAAUGAGAUGGGUCUUUUCAGAGUCUAUAAUUGGUGACAAGGAUGAGUCUGCGAGAUGUCCAUUACACAACCACGAUGUCAGAGUAGGAGGGCUUCCGCAGAGUUCUCAUCCCCGGGAUCACCCAUGGAUUUCCUCUUGAUUGUCUUCAGUUGGACUGCAAGGCUUUAUGGGAAAAAAGAAUGAGCACUUGACAGGCGUCCUGGUUUCUCAUCUCAGUUUGGGCACCAAAUAGCAGCAUGAUCUCAAUGAAAUAAUUAUUCCAGACAGGAUGAAGGUCAUGGUCAUUAGAGCCCGCCUUGAGGAAGGAAAGGUAAGAGAUUUAUUUAGUGACACAUUUUGAUUUCUUUAUCCAGCUACUUCCAAAAUUGAUACCAUUCAUGGACUGUUGUGUUAUGUGAAUUCAUUACUUUUUUGCUUAAACCAGUCAGAGUUGGGUUUUAUAAUCAUCUGUCAAGAAUGCUUCCAAAAGAAAUGCUUAGGGUAUAGGAGAUUGGACCACAUGACC